CCUACGUGAUGCAGCAGUGGGGAAUAUUGCACAAUGGGGGGAACCCUGAUGCAGCGACGCCGCGUGAGUGAAGAAGUAUUUCGGUAUGUAAAGCUCUAUCAGCAGGGAAGAAAAUGACGGUACCUGACUAAGAAGCCCCGGCUAACUACGUGCCAGCAGCCGCGGUAAUAAGGAGGGGGCAAGCGUUAUCCGGAUUUACUGGGUGUAAAGGGAGCGCAGACGGCUGUGCAAGUCUGGAGUGAAAGGCGGGGGCCCAACCCCCGGACUGCUCUGGAAACUGUAAAGCUGGAGUGCAGGAGAGGUAAGCGGAAUUCCUAGGGUAGCGGUGAAAUGCGUAGAUAUUAGGAGGAACACCAGUGGCGAGGGCGGCUUACUGGACUGCAACUGACGUUGAGGCUCGAAAGCGUGGGGAGCAAACAGGAUUAGAUACCCCAGUAGUC
RNAcentral lists this ribosomal RNA (440 nucleotides) under uncultured bacterium. Its description in RNAcentral is "partial 16S ribosomal RNA". It matches the Rfam family "Bacterial small subunit ribosomal RNA", at positions 338 to 795 of the family's 1533-position model. The record is from RNAcentral.